GACGAACGCUGGCGGCGUGCUUAACACAUGCAAGUCGAACGGAAAGGCCCUGCUUGCAGGGUACUCGAGUGGCGAACAGGUGAGUAACACGUGGGUGAUCUGCCCUGCACUUCGGGAUAAGCCUGGGAAACUGGGUCUAAUACCGGAUAGGAGCCAUUUUUAGUGUGAUGGUUGGAAAGUUUUUUCGGUGUAGGAUGAGCUCGCGGCCUAUCAGCUUGUUGGUGGGGUAAUGGCCUACCAAGGCGGCGACGGGUAGCCGGCCUGAGAGGGUGGGCGGCCACAUUGGGACUGAGAUACGGCCCAGACUCCUACGGGAGGCAGCAGUGGGGAAUAUUGCACAAUGGGCGCAAGCCUGAUGCAGCGACGCCGCGUGGGGGAUGACGGCCUUCGGGUUGUAAACUCCUUUCGCUAGGGACGAAGCUUUUUGUGACGGUACCUAGAUAAGAAGCACCGGCUAACUACGUG
RNAcentral lists this ribosomal RNA (465 nucleotides) under uncultured bacterium. Its description in RNAcentral is "partial 16S ribosomal RNA". It matches the Rfam family "Bacterial small subunit ribosomal RNA", at positions 28 to 507 of the family's 1533-position model. The record is from RNAcentral.